This is a long non-coding RNA of Felis catus (domestic cat), 2614 nucleotides long. RefSeq lists it as uncharacterized. The transcript has 5 exons. The record is from RefSeq and is a predicted model, not a curated record. NCBI's taxonomy places the organism in Eukaryota, Metazoa, Chordata, Mammalia, Carnivora, Felidae.
GACAGGACAAGAUCCAGUUUCCUUACAUACCAGAAGUCGGCCUAAAUAGUGCCCAAUUUUCUGCAUACCAUGCCCAGAGUGGUGAAGUGUUUGAUCCUCCAAAUCUCUACGGAUGGAAAAGCAAACUGAGAGCAACCUCAUCUGCUCUUGAGAAAGAGAAAGAAAAGACAGGAACUAGUCCAACAGUUGAACUGCACUGAAUAGUUUAAUGCUACCCUUUUAACAGCUGGAAAUUUUUCAUGGAAUUGUUCCAACCACUCCUCAACUUGGGAAAAAAUCAUUCAGGAACCUUCUGCCUUACAAGCAAUUCAUAACCCCUGGCAAAGUUGAAUCUAAAAAAUAUACAACGUGCCUAUGAGUCAUCCUUAAAAUACUUUUCUUCAAUAAGCUUCUGUAAUGGGGAAAAAUUAUCAUUCCACACAAGCUUCUGAGACUUGUUACCACUUUGCAGAUUGAAUAACCCUUGGAGACAAGGCAAUCUACGGGCUAGACAGCCUGGAAACAGCUUCCAGACCAAUCAGCUGCUGGGAAACAGUUUUUGGCCCAAUCACCCACCUGGAAACUGUACAUGGACCACUCGCUGUCUUCUAAGAACCACUUCUCCUAAAAUCUGCCACUGCUGCCUUGCAAACCAAACCAGAGAGAGAAAAUAUACCUGAAUUAUUUCUACACUGACCUUGUGAGUCCCAGCCCAUCUGUGCCCUUUUGACAAGUGCUUCGAACUCCAUGCCCCUCAGUGGAAUUCAUUCUGUAUUGAAUAAUUUUUUGGCCAAGCCCUAUCCUUUGUGGAAAGAGUCAAUGGCAGAGGUGUGAAUAUAGCAACAAGGAGACCUGCUGUGAGGUUUUUCAAAGAUUCCAAAUAAGCAAUGGUGGAAGCCUGAACUAGAGCCUGAGGAGUGGGAAUGGAGAGGAAGGCCAGACUGCAGCAUCGAAGAAGGGGCAGAAUCUAUUGGGCCUUGCUGACUAAUCAAGGUACCUCAAAGAAAGUUGAAAGAAGGUGAUUCAAAUUGCCAGGAAGAGUUUGGGAACAUCCACACUGCCAAUCAGUUUUGUAAAACAAAAUUUUUAAAAGGCAUAAUCUAUCCACAGAACAAGACUACGUCAGCACCACAAAUAAUCAAGGACAAAUCACACACAACGAAGGAAGUGCUCAUCACUGCUACCCGUUUUGUGCACACAAGACAGUCCCUAUCUCUCAACUAGGAACGUCAGCCACUUUAGGCUUUUGAAUGUUGGUCUUUCUCCUGUUGUCUUCUACCUACUGACUUUUCAAUCAGCUCUCCUCCUGUGGCCGGAUCCAUUUCACGGCAUAUCACUCCCACCUCAGAAGACUGGGUCACAGAAGUGAUUUCAGGACUCAUAAGUGAGCAAAGGCCUCAAGCUCAAAUAUUAGCUGAAUGACUGAAUAAUUACUAUAGGAUAGGUAUGGUCCUCUGGACAAGCAAUCUGCCUAAUAUCUCAGGGAAGGAAAGGCCACAGAACUGCAAGCUGUAAGAGAGAUUACCUACACUAACCAAAUCAGGUUCUGACUGAGGAGGGUAAGGGAGUUCAGCAAAGCGAAAGAGACCAACUACCUCCAUUUUGACCUCCAUCUGUACUUGGUAGCCUAAGUGGCAAAGAAGGUGGGAACCAAUUCCUUCUAGGGAAAAGACCUGUCCAUCCUGUUCUCUUUUCCUCUGGUAUCUCUUCAACUUCCUGUCUUCCAUGUGACCAAUUUGGUAGUAAUAUUUGGGUUUAGGGUUAAGGAGAAGUAAGGGUCAUCCUUGCCAGAGCUCCCUGCCUCAGGGUUUCGCACACAAGCCCAGCAACAAUAAAUUAAUGCAGCCCGGAUUGAAAUCUUAUCACACUAUAUCUCAGAGGUGCAAAGAAGAUGUUGGAGAUGGAACUUUAAAAUCACCAAUUAAAGUAUUUUACUUUUCCAAUUUAACAUAGUCUCCUUCCAGGUAAUAACUCCCAGUAAGAGCUGUUUCUCUCCUUUUUUCUUUUUCUCCUUAAGUAGGUGUCUGGAGGGCGGUGCUUAGGUGACCUCAUGCUUGCCCAGAGCCUUGCUCUUUGGAUCAUCACCAGCCUGUGCCGCAAGAGUGCUAGUCUGGUCUUGUCCCUGACCUGCCAGUCAGAAGGGCUGCUCUCCUGGCUCCCAGCUCUCACGGCUGGCAGGAACUUUUCUUGCAUCAUCUCCCUCCUUCCCAAAAUGAAAUUUGUCAACACCUACUUCCCAGAGCACUACUAGCAGAAUGGCCACUGGGAAAUAUAAUUUAUGGGAGAGACGAAAACACAUAUAUGCACCCCCAACAUACCCUUUGUCACUUUAUGUUGCCUCAUCAUUGUCUGUUGUCUGGUUAUCACUCUGGGAACCCUGAGGGGGAAAGAGUCUGGAAUUUGGGGUUAUCCCAAAUACUUCAUAAGGUCAAGCUCUUAACAGGUAAUUUCUAGUAUUACUUCUACAUAUGGCAUUCUUUCUCAUUAUACUCUUAUACUCUCCUCAUGUACCCCAGGAAAACGUUCAGGGAUUUUCUGUUUUGCUUGCUGCUAUAACCCCAAUGUCUAAGUAGUACAUGGCACAGAGUAGGUGUUCAAUAAAUAUUUGUGGGAUGAGUGAAGGGUUGAUCACAUC